GUACCUUUAGGUACAGGUACAGCAAUCUAAGCAGUCAGUGGAUGCGGGGAGUGGUAAACAGCGAGGGGAGGAAAAUGACAGCUGGUGAGUCGGCGAGCUGGCGAGUUUGUUAAUACAAUUUUCCCCUCCAUUGGUUGCUAUCGUCUCCAUAGUGCCGUAAUGUUUAUUAUUACGUGUUGAAAAUUCAAAAGGAACAUUUUCUGCAGAUACCAACGACAGUUUCAGAGUACAGGAUGCUGUGAUUCCAUCACGCGAGAAAUUAAUUGGAAAUAAAACAAAUUCCUAAUGUGAGGAUGACACAGACGAUUGCGUAGCGCAGCUCAUGAUUCGUUCGACUCGAAAAGGACAAUUUCAAUUACGGAGGAUAUUAUGUACCUACUACAGAAAACCAAAUAAAUUCAUCAAUUUCAGAUGCUUCUUCA
This is a long non-coding RNA of Aedes aegypti (yellow fever mosquito), 422 nucleotides long. RefSeq lists it as uncharacterized. Lineage: Eukaryota; Metazoa; Arthropoda; Insecta; Diptera; Culicidae. The transcript has 2 exons. The record is from RefSeq and is a predicted model, not a curated record.